RNAcentral lists this ribosomal RNA (429 nucleotides) under Gemmatimonadota bacterium. Its description in RNAcentral is "Gemmatimonadetes bacterium partial 16S ribosomal RNA". It matches the Rfam family "Bacterial small subunit ribosomal RNA", at positions 355 to 776 of the family's 1533-position model. The record is from RNAcentral. Lineage: Bacteria; Pseudomonadati; Gemmatimonadota.
UAGGGAAUCUUCGGCAAUGGACGAAAGUCUGACCGAGCAACGCCGCGUGAGUGAAGAAGGUUUUCGGAUCGUAAAACUCUGUUGUUAGAGAAGAACAAGGACGUUAGUAACUGAACGUCCCCUGACGGUAUCUAACCAGAAAGCCACGGCUAACUACGUGCCAGCAGCCGCGGUAAUACGUAGGUGGCAAGCGUUGUCCGGAUUUAUUGGGCGUAAAGCGAGCGCAGGCGGUUUCUUAAGUCUGAUGUGAAAGCCCCCGGCUCAACCGGAGAGGGUCAUUGGAAACUGGGAGACUUGAGUGCAGAAGAGGGGAGUGGAAUUCCAUGUGUAGCGGUGAAAUGCGUAGAUAUAUGGAGGAACACCAGUGGCGAAGGCGGCUCUCUGGUCUGUAACUGACGCUGAGGCUCGAGAGCGUGGGGAGCAAACAGG